CAACAGGGAUUGCCCUAGUAACGGCGAGUGAAGCGGCAAAAGCUCAGAUUUGAAAUCUGUCGCCAUUUUGGCGGCCGAGUUGUAGUCUGUAGAGGUGUAUUCGAGUGUGGCUUUGGCUUAAGUUCCUUGGAACAGGGCGUCAUAGAGGGUGAGAACCCCGUUAACGGCCUUUGUCUUAUGCUCAUGUGAAUCUCCUUCAACGAGUCGAGUUGUUUGGGAAUGCAGCUCUAAAUGGGUGGUAAAUUCCAUCUAAAGCUAAAUACUGGCAAGAGACCGAUAGCGCACAAGUAGAGUGAUCGAAAGAUGAAAAGAACUCUGAACAGAGAGUUAAAUAGUACGUGAAAUUGUUGAAAGGGAAGCACUUCCGACCAGACGCACUUGCAGCCGAUCAAUCUUCAUUCUUGAGGGUGCACUCGGUUGUCUGUGGGUCAGCAUCAGUUAUGGCGGUGGGAAAAAGACUAAGGGAAUGUGGCUCCUUUCGGGGAGUGUUAUAGCCUUUGGUGCAAUGCUGCCUGCUGUGACUGAGGACCGCGCUUCGGUGAGGAUGCUGGCAUAAU
RNAcentral lists this ribosomal RNA (557 nucleotides) under Legaliana badia. RNAcentral's name for it is "partial 28S ribosomal RNA". It matches the Rfam family "Eukaryotic large subunit ribosomal RNA", at positions 66 to 635 of the family's 3401-position model. Lineage: Eukaryota; Fungi; Ascomycota; Pezizomycetes; Pezizales; Pezizaceae. The record is from RNAcentral.